GAUGAACGCUGGCGGUGUGCCUAAUACAUGCAAGUCGAGCGAACAGACGAGGAGCUUGCUCCUCUGACGUUAGCGGCGGACGGGUGAGUAACACGUGGAUAACCUACCUAUAAGACUGGGAUAACUUCGGGAAACCGGAGCUAAUACCGGAUAAUAUAUUGAACCGCAUGGUUCAAUAGUGAAAGACGGUUUUGCUGUCACUUAUAGAUGGAUCCGCGCCGCAUUAGCUAGUUGGUAAGGUAACGGCUUACCAAGGCAACGAUGCGUAGCCGACCUGAGAGGGUGAUCGGCCACACUGGAACUGAGACACGGUCCAGACUCCUACGGGAGGCAGCAGUAGGGAAUCUUCCGCAAUGGGCGAAAGCCUGACGGAGCAACGCCGCGUGAGUGAUGAAGGUCUUCGGAUCGUAAAACUCUGUUAUUAGGGAAGAACAAAUGUGUAAGUAACUAUGCACGUCUUGACGGUACCUAAUCAGAAAGCCACGGCUAACUACUUG
Molecule: ribosomal RNA, 497 nt
Filed under: uncultured bacterium
Lineage: Bacteria
Description: partial 16S ribosomal RNA
Rfam family: Bacterial small subunit ribosomal RNA
Source: RNAcentral